CGCCGACUUCGCCGGCCUCUCCCAUGAAUUUCACGUACGGCUAGUGCACCCAAAUCAACAUAUUAGGCAAUCUUUGACAGAUUGCGCAUCAUCCGUUCGAAACCGAGAUAUUGGCAUUGGCAUAGCGGUGGCUAUGCUCUAAUUGUUUUGCAUAGUUUCAAGAUUGGGGUUUCAGAAAAAACUAGUCAAAUCUGCAUAAAAUUUUUUGGAACACUUUGUCAUCAUGGGACGGACUGGAUACACGUGUAUUAGACACAUCUUCUGCUCACUUAAUGUCCUCAUCUGGGUCAGUAUG
This is a long non-coding RNA of Ceratosolen solmsi marchali, 295 nucleotides long. RefSeq lists it as uncharacterized. The record is from RefSeq and is a predicted model, not a curated record. The transcript has 3 exons. NCBI's taxonomy places the organism in Eukaryota, Metazoa, Arthropoda, Insecta, Hymenoptera, Agaonidae.